Molecule: long non-coding RNA, 1355 nt
Organism: Hirundo rustica (Barn swallow)
Lineage: Eukaryota; Metazoa; Chordata; Aves; Passeriformes; Hirundinidae
Exons: 3
Source: RefSeq, a predicted model, not a curated record
GUCUUCUGCGUUUCUGGAGUGGAAGGAGCCUCUGUGGUCUUCUAAAGGUUCAGGUAUCGCUAGGAGCGAUCCUCAUGUUCGUCAAAAGAACGAGAUGCAAAGAUUGCGAAGCAGGAACUCAGGAACUUAUGCAGACUGCUCUCAGCUGGAAGCCCCAACUGGGACUUUAAUGCAAAAGCACCAGCAGGGAUGGAGCUGUAGAGGAGCAUGAGCACACUGCCCUGUGGUUGAAGUCACACUUUUUUGAUGCUUCUCUGACCCCGUCAAGACUCCCAAAUCAGAGCACAAAUUUCCUAGGGCAAGCCUCCCUGCAGGAAGUUUACUGUUCAAGUCCUAAGGAGAACUGAGAACAGAAGCUGCAGAGAAGAAUUGUCUGAAGCAUUACCAAUAUUGCUUCUGGGACGCUGGAGUCUCCAGCUCCUUCCAGUGUGAGUUUGUUUUUGGGAGCAGGGACUUGGCCACCCUUUCUAGUGCUGCCACUUUGCUCUGGGACCUGGAUCGAUGGUGAGGGCACUAAACAGGUCAGGAUGGAGCUGGCUCCCUCCCCGCUCUGGAAAUCACCAGGGUAAAUGCUCCUGCACUCAGAAAAAAUGUCAAAACCUUCUACAGUUUAUUGAGAAAGGUCUUAUUCCUACCACUAAUUUUUAUUUAAAACUUUAUUGCCACAGCUCAAUAGAUGAAAUAUAGAAGCUUGCCAUAUGCAGGCCGUAAACCGCUGACAGCUGAUCGUCGGCCGAGCUUAAACCAUGACUUUCAAAAUGACAGGUGGGGAGAGGCUUAAAAAACUUGACCUGUCUUAAGCACAUCAGCACGUGCCACCAGAUGCAGAUUAAUAAAUACCCUUUGCUGUGAGCACAUGCAAAAGGGGCUGCUCAAGUCUAAGAAGUUGCCAUAUGGCACAGCCAGUGCACCUGUGGUGCUGCAAGGAAUGAUGGAUCGUGUGCUCUAGCAGUUAAAUGGUGUCAUCUAUUAUGUGGAUGGGAGCGGGAGAGACCAACGUGUGAGCUCGGGAACACGCCUCCCCCAGAGGUUUUAAAUAAUACACCGAGGUUUGGGAAAUCCUGCCGAGGAGCCGGCCCCUCGCUGGGAGAGACGCAGAGCUGCGUGGUGGGCUCGGGGCAGCGAGGAGCAGCAGUCCCCCAAACUGAGGGGGUAGAUGCUGCCCUGCAAGGAGCAGCCCCCUCCACGGGAGGAGGGAGCUCCUGAGAACGCGUCCCUCCCGGGAUGGGGUCGGACUGGCAGGAAUAGAUGGUGCAAUGUCUGUGGAGUGGGGGAAGGAGAGCCUGUUGCCAUCUCUGUAGAUGGCCUGGACUGUUUCAGGGCUGGGGUCAGUUUUGGCAAUGCCUUGUUAUUAU